CAAAGGCUUGGUCCUGACUUUGCUAUCAGCUUUGGCCCCAUUUAUACAUGCAAGUAUCCGCACCCCCGUGAGAAUGCCCUCAAUCCUCUGCCCGAGAACAAGGAGCAGGCAUCAGGCACAUAAUCUGGCCCAAGACGCCUUGCUAUGCCACACCCUCAAGGGAAUUCAGCAGUAAUAAAUAUUAAGCCAUGAGUGAAAACUCGACCUAGUUAAGGCCACAAGGGUCGGUAAAAUUCGUGCCAGCCACCGCGGUUAUACGAAAGACCCUAGUUGAUUGACACGGCGUAAAGGGUGGUUAGGGAUAGCCCACAAAUAAGGCUAAAGAUCCUCUAGGCUGUCAUACGCUUCCCGAGGAGACGAAACCCCCAUACGAAAGUAGCCUUAAAAUAAACUUGACACCACGAAAGCCAAGAAACAAACUGGGAUUAGAUACCCCACUAUGCUUGGCUGUAAACCCAGAUGUACCUUCACAUAUACAUCCGCCCGGGUACUACGAGCACAGCUUAAAACCCAAAGGACUUGGCGGUGUCUCAGACCCACCUAGAGGAGCCUGUUCUAGAACCGAUAACCCCCGUUAAACCUCACCACUCCUUGCUUUUUCCGCCUAUAUACCGCCGUCGUCAGCUUACCCUAUGAAGGCAUAACAGUAAGCAAAAUGGGCAAACCCAAAAACGUCAGGUCGAGGUGUAGCGUACGAAGUGGGAAGAAAUGGGCUACAUUUUCUUUAAUUUGAAGAAUAUUACGAACGGCACCAUGAAAUAAGUGCCUGAAGGUGGAUUUAGUAGUAAAAAGUAAGCAGAGCGUUCUUUUGAAUUAGGCUCUGAGACGCGCACACACCGCCCGUCACUCUCCCCAAUGAACACAACCCAAGAUCACUAAUAAUAUACACAUCAACGCGGGGAGGCAAGUCGUAACAUGGUAAGUGUACCGGAAGGUGCACUUGGACUAAU
RNAcentral lists this non-coding RNA (950 nucleotides) under Duringlanis perugiae. Its description in RNAcentral is "12S rRNA". It matches the Rfam family "Bacterial small subunit ribosomal RNA". Lineage: Eukaryota; Metazoa; Chordata; Actinopteri; Siluriformes; Auchenipteridae. The record is from RNAcentral.